GAAUGUUGGGAGGCGUCGUUGGGCGUUUGGAAAAACCGAAUAAAAGCCGGGGACGAAGCUGCGCCUCACGCGCUGGAAAGGCGGUAAGGAUGGGUGUUUUAUGAUUUAUACCACUACCUUUCUGGAAAAUGCUUUCGGUGCUUUAUAAGUUCCCCUUUAGAGAGGGAGAAAAGGAGUCGCUGAGGGAAAUACCCGAGGAAUGGAAGAAGCUCGAAGAGUUGGGAGCUGGAGGACCCUGAGGAGGACCCUACCCCAGGAUGGGAAAGGUAGAAUCAGGACCCAGAUAAGUGCCUGAUUCUGGGGACGGGUCCUGUGGCCUGGAGGAUGGAGAUCAGGAUCCAAGGAGUGUGGUCCCUCCAACAUUAGACACCCCUACCUUAACACCUGUUGCCAUGGAGCUGCUCCAGCGCCGAGUCCACCUCUGUCUCUAUGGAGACGACAACACCGUUGAAAACAAACCUUGUGGAGUUAACCCACUCAAAGGAGUGCCUGUUUACUUGCCUGGUCUUGUGACUGGCCACUUACUGUGCAAAUACAGUUGUGUCCACCUCAGUCUUCAAAAGGAAGGUGCAGGGGCAUGUUGAUCGUUGUAUCAAUGUCUUAGCAUGCACUGAACCUCUUCUGUACCUGCUGAACCAUAUAAUCUGUUGUUUGCCUUAUGUACCAAUCUGAUUUGAGCGUUAAAGCCUUUGGCAGAACUACA
Long non-coding RNA from Podarcis raffonei (Aeolian wall lizard), 703 nucleotides. RefSeq lists it as uncharacterized. The record is from RefSeq and is a predicted model, not a curated record. Lineage: Eukaryota; Metazoa; Chordata; Lepidosauria; Squamata; Lacertidae. The transcript is spliced from 2 exons.